This 756-nucleotide long non-coding RNA is filed under the name Ornithorhynchus anatinus (platypus). Its description in RNAcentral is "lncRNA (ENSOANG00000042440.1)". The record is from RNAcentral. Lineage: Eukaryota; Metazoa; Chordata; Mammalia; Monotremata; Ornithorhynchidae.
UUUGGAAUCAGCUGGGGAGGCCAUGGCUUUAGGGCCAAUAGGAUGUCACCUUCAGUAGGGGUGGAGCCAAGUUUUGGAACGAAAGAAAGGGUGUGUUUUCGUGGGAACUGGGAAGUUUUGAUCCCUGUCCUGAGAAAUUUCAGGCUUAUUUCAUUUCAUGUGCACCAACCCAUAGGAUCUCAUUCCUGCUGCCGCUCUCUUUGAGAUUGUUCCUGCCCUGCCCACAGUGCUUCCGGCCACCAUUUUCCAAGCUGAAUGCCGACAACCUAAUUUACGACAGUGCUUUGGGAACAAGUGUGCUGUUCAAAACCAAGGUUGAAAAUCAAGAGUUUUGGCUCGGCGAACGCUUCGUCUUAAGGCAAUCAGGGGAAAAGUACAAGCAUUUUGGGGAAUGGAUAGAAUUGUGCUGAACAGCUUGAUCAGCUCAACGUGGAAAUUUGAGCGUGUUGCCGAAAUUCUUUUCAUGUUUUGUGGGAAGAAAUACGUGAAAGUCACAACAAUUUGAAAUUUGAUAAGAGAAAAAAAAUCAAAGGAAAUACAGAGCAAAAAAAAAAAAUCAAGAAACACUGUGUCCACCAAAAUAUUAAAACAGCAUAAGAUUCCUUCCGUAUGUGUGAAAGCCAGAUGAAGGGAAUACGCAACAGAUUUACCAAAUAUGAGUAAUAAUUUUGGUUUUGUACAUUGAAUUGAUUCUCUAAGAAGGAAUAGGUUACCUAAGGGGUCAAAGAUAAUCCUCUUUUGUGGCAAGGAGAGAAC